Molecule: long non-coding RNA, 1552 nt
Organism: Vespa mandarinia (Asian giant hornet)
Lineage: Eukaryota; Metazoa; Arthropoda; Insecta; Hymenoptera; Vespidae
Source: RefSeq, a predicted model, not a curated record
UAUAUGUAUGUAUGUAUUUAUUUACAUAUGUAUAUACGAAAGUCACAUUUACUUUAUUUUUCCUUCAUUAUACAUAAUAUGUUUUGACUUAACAUUCUACCAUCAUAGAUUAUUCAUUAUUGAAUAGAAUGUCAAAGGAGGCUUGUUGUGUUGUUCGAUCUAAUUGUAAUUUCCUUAUAUAUAUGUAUACGUGUGUGCGUGCGUGCGUGUGUGUGUGUGUGUGUGUGUAAUGUGUGAAUGAUUUAUACACAUACUUUGAUCAUUUUUAAAUUUUAAUAUAUUGCGUAGUUUCGAUAAUAUUGCCAUUGGCCCGAAACUUCUUUUCUUAUAAAAAUUAAUUUUGUAAGAUGGAGUAGCAGCCCAACUAACUUCCAACGUUUGAGUGGAAGCCCUGACCAGUUGAACGCGAGAAGGUGCAGGUGGUUUGUUCACUUCAAGAUACCAAAGAUCUUUACAACAAACCUGCGAAUGAGUUUCAAAAUUGUCAAUAAAAUACCAUUUCUUCUGAUAAUAUUCGCAAAAGAACAACUAACCCUAACCUGGUUGUUCCAAGCUUUACGAUAACCAUCGCGCCCAGACCAAACAUAUAAUCUACUGUGCACACCAACAGCGCAAUGUCCGGCACGUGCACGCGGUACAUUUUCCUCAAGAGAAUCUACCGUCAGUUGCUCCCACGUUAAUGUUUCUAAAAUAAAGAAAAUAUUAUUGCGUAUAAGUUUACUGAAAAAAAGAAAUAUAUAUAUAUAUAUAUAUAUAUAUAUAUAUAUAUAUAUAUAAAUAAGUAAAAAAGAAAGCUUAAUUUGAAUGACAUAAAUGUUAACUCACCUAAAUUUAAACAUGCUAAUGUACUUGUACAUUUCCAUUCUUUCUCGUGUGUUGCUACUUUUACAUCAUCUACCACAAGGGGCACCCAUCCCCCGAAAACAUACAUUCUGUGACCGAUUAAAGUAGCAGUAUGGAGAGAACGUGGUAGCGGCGUAGGUCCAUGUACUACUGGCUUGUUCCAUGUCAUUGAAUCGACAUCGAGAAACCAUAGGUCACCCAAACGACAACCACUCAUACCACCAUAGAUCACCAAGCAAGAUUUACCUGUUGUACGAUCUGUAUAAGCAACACCUGUGUGCGACUCUCGAGGUGGAGGUGCAUGACCAUGGGUUUGUGGAACAUCCCAUGCUGUUGCUCCAUUUGGAAGAAGUUCCAAUGUAUAGAGAUCAUUUAAAUAUCUCGGUAUAUUAUUUUUUGGAUCUUCGCUAUCAUUGGCCAAACCUCCGAAUAAAAAGACUCUAUUUCCAAUAAGAGUAAAACUAUGGCCUAACCGUGGACAAGGUGGAGGAUCAUGUUUUGGUGGUUUUGGUUUUAAUCUUUUCCAUUCCCACCUACUCGCUUGAAGCUCAUAGAGUUCAUUAGAGUACUUGCCAUAUUCUACCAUUCCACCAAAAACCAAUAUGCGUGUACCAUCGACCACAAAUCCAUAGGCCGCACAGCCAGGUGGAAUAUCGCCUUUGGUUAAUGGUACGAACCAUUGAUUAGUUGCUGUAAAAAAAAAAAGAAA